RNAcentral lists this transfer RNA (76 nucleotides) under Sandaracinus sp. RNAcentral describes it as "tRNA-Thr". It matches the Rfam family "tRNA". Rfam says of the family: Transfer RNA (tRNA) molecules are approximately 80 nucleotides in length. The record is from RNAcentral. Lineage: Bacteria; Pseudomonadati; Myxococcota; Polyangiales; Sandaracinaceae.
GCCUCUCUAGCUCAGUUGGUAGAGCAACGGUUUCGUAAACCGUAGGUCGUCGGUUCAAGUCCGAUGGGAGGCUCCA